This is a long non-coding RNA of Papilio machaon (common yellow swallowtail), 306 nucleotides long. RefSeq lists it as uncharacterized. NCBI's taxonomy places the organism in Eukaryota, Metazoa, Arthropoda, Insecta, Lepidoptera, Papilionidae. The transcript is spliced from 3 exons. The record is from RefSeq and is a predicted model, not a curated record.
UUCAGUAAUGUUGAUUUGACAUUCGCGCGCCGAACGCCGGCUGGACCGAAUGUAUGGUGUUUUUAUCGUAUACCGAAUACAUCCUGGGUAUUUUUUCUUACGUUGCAUUCCUGUAUUAAGCCAUGGAGGUUUUAUUGAAAUUUAUUUUAUUAUGUUUGUACUGCCAAUUGGGGAUUUGUAGUGAGGUAAAAUAUAAGGCGGCAGUGUUACCCGGUAACUUAAGAAAUGGUGUCAAAGAUUAUUUAGCUCAAAUGAAAGAAAUUUCCAACCAGAAUGUGGAUAUUGUACUAUUGUCUUCCGAAAUUU